UGAGGAAUAUUGGUCAAUGGGCGCUAGCCUGAACCAGCCAAGUAGCGUGAAGGAUGAAGGCUCUAUGGGUCGUAAACUUCUUUUAUAUAAGAAUAAAGUGCAGUAUGUAUACUGUUUUGUAUGUAUUAUAUGCAUAAGGAUCGGCUAACUCCGUGCCAGCAGCCGCGGUAAUACGGAGGAUCCGAGCGUUAUCCGGAUCUAUUGGGUUUAAAGGGAGCGUAGGUGGACUGGUAAGUAAGUUGUGAAAGUUUGCGGCUCAACCGUAAAAAUGCAGUUGAUAAUGGAAGUAUAGAGUACAGUAGAGGUGGGCGGAAUUCGUGGGGUAGCGGUGAAAUGAUUAGAAAUAACGAAGAACUACGGUAGCGAAGGCAGCUGACUGGAAUGAAACUGACACUGAUGCUCGAAAGUGAGGGUAUCAAACAGG
This 424-nucleotide ribosomal RNA is filed under the name Fusobacteriota bacterium. RNAcentral describes it as "Fusobacteria bacterium partial 16S ribosomal RNA". It matches the Rfam family "Bacterial small subunit ribosomal RNA", at positions 355 to 776 of the family's 1533-position model. The record is from RNAcentral. Lineage: Bacteria; Fusobacteriati; Fusobacteriota.